Long non-coding RNA from Choloepus didactylus (southern two-toed sloth), 220 nucleotides. RefSeq lists it as uncharacterized. The transcript has 3 exons. NCBI's taxonomy places the organism in Eukaryota, Metazoa, Chordata, Mammalia, Pilosa, Megalonychidae. The record is from RefSeq and is a predicted model, not a curated record.
AUUUUGAAAGCCACCUCCUGCAAGAAGUUGAGCACUUAGAGAAGAAUUGCAGGUUGAAAAAAUCCUUGCCAGGAAAUCAAAGACAUUGUUCCACUGUUUUUUCACUUCCAUGAUGUUACACAGAAAUCUGAAGGCUCUGACGAUCUGGAACAGAGGCUUGCAGUUAAGUUCUGUGAGACAGAAGAAUCUAGGACCAGCCACUCGUGUGUUGAGAGAGACC